Molecule: ribosomal RNA, 406 nt
Filed under: uncultured bacterium
Lineage: Bacteria
Description: partial 16S ribosomal RNA
Rfam family: Bacterial small subunit ribosomal RNA
Source: RNAcentral
AUUGAACGCUGGCGGCAGGCCUAACACAUGCAAGUCGAACGAGUGGCGGACGGGUGAGUAAUGUCUGGGAAACUGCCCGAUGGAGGGGGAUAACUCCUGUAAACGGUAGCUAAUACCCCAUACUCUCGCAUCUGCCCCGAUGGGAUUUGCUAGUAUGUGGGGUAACGGCCAACCUAGGCGACGAUCCCUAGCUGGUCUGAGAGGAUGACCAGCCACACUGGAACUGAGACACGGUCCAGACUCCUACGGGAGGCAGCAGUGGGGAAUAUUGCACAAUGGGCGCAAGCCUGAUGCAGCCAUGCCGCGUGUAUGAAGAAGGCCUUCGGGUUGUAAAGUACUUUCAGCGAGGAGGCGUUACUCGCAGAAGAAGCACCGGCUAACUCCGUGCCAGCAGCCGCGGUAAUAC